RNAcentral lists this long non-coding RNA (4891 nucleotides) under Sus scrofa (pig). RNAcentral describes it as "lncRNA (ENSSSCG00045015309.1)". The record is from RNAcentral. Lineage: Eukaryota; Metazoa; Chordata; Mammalia; Artiodactyla; Suidae.
AGCCCAUUCAGGUGGUAAUCUGUGCACUUUUGACAUGUCCCAAACAUUUUUUGAGUGCCAUUUAACUUCUGAUACACAAGAUUUUCAGCCCUGGAAUCAGCCAUUUUCUAAGGAGCCCUUCUUCCAUUUAAUGAAGAGUGGUAUUUAGAAACCAAGAUCUGAGUAUUAGGUAUUUUCAUUCCUAUUGGGAUGUUGCUGCUACCAGGCUUUCCCAGUCAGAGUUAGGGAAUAUCUGUAUAUACCUAUCAAUCAAUAGGUAUAAAUCAAUAGGUGUUGAUGGGUAUAAACAAGUAGUUUACAUCAGUACCUCCAGUUCUAAUCCGGAACUUUAUAGGAGUCAUUCUAGUUUUCUAUAUUAGUAACUCCUCCUCUGACAGUGAGAAAUCUGGUUCCCAUUAUCCUUAAUGUAUUUGUGUAUUUCAUAAAUCCCACUGUAUGUAACAUAUGUCACUGUGCCACUAACCUGGUGGAUGCUCCCCUCACCACCUCAGGCCCGAACCUGGGGAUGGAAAUGCUCUCCACGUGGGCAUUUCCAUCCCCAGCCUUUGUUUUGACACCCUGCACUGCCUUCCCCACAUGUAACCCUGAUGAGACUCUGCUUUCCCUCUCUGGGCCACCAUGCUCCUAUUCCUAUGUGGAGAGUUACCUUGCUCAGAACUACCCCAGGCAUUUGUUCUGCGUGUUUUUUGGGGGAAAAGAGGACGCAGAGAGUUUAAGAUACUGCUUGAUUUUCUUUAUGGUUUAUGUUUUUUUUAUGUCUUAUGUAAGAAAUCUUUUCAUACUUUCAAAUAAGAAUAUUUUUCUAUAAAUUACUACUCUAUCUUAUUUACCAUAACUUUCCAUUCAGCCAGGGUCUAGUCCGGAAAACAAAUGACCAAGUAUUUGAAGGAAGAGUGGAUUUAGUAUGGACAAUUUAAUGCUUAGAAAAACAGUGACAGGACUGGAGGACUGAAAGGUGCAAGAAGUAACUGACUGUUACCUCUUAGGUUUGCCACUAACUUUCAGAGAGUUAGGAAGGUGCAGAAACCAUAGAAAAUCUCUGGGAUAAUCAGUUGUCACCAAUACUGGUGAUUUACAAAAACGAAAAGGACCUGAAGGAUGCUGCAGACUCUCACAUCCUCUGAUGUUUAUCAUGCAUCUCUCCAUCCUUAACAAAGGACCAAAAAUACACUUUUGCUUUCCUUCUGCCCUCAGAUUUUAUGAAUGUCUUUCAUUGGAAAUUUAACCAAAAAACCUUUUGGCAGCGUCCAGAGAAAUGUAGUUCCUGGACAUCUAGCCCUUUGAGCUGGAGAAGGGGUGUGAAGGUGUGAAUAGCUUGUGAGAGCUCUGGCAUAGAUUCUUAUCAGAUUCACCAUACAGAGAACAGGCCUCCCUCCCCACACAUAUACAGCCUUUUCUUGUUGUCAGGACUACUCCUGUUCAUUGUCAUGUGAACUUGUAGAUGAUCGUGUUAAGUGUUACAAAAAACUCAGGAUUUUAUUUGGACUUACACCUAAUUUUAAGACUGAUUUUGGGAUAACUGACCCUUUGCGAUAUUUGUGCUUUUUUACCCAUGAUUGUGAUCUUUCUUUAAUGUCUUUCAAUAAAGCUUUAUGCCUUUCUACAUGAAGGUCUUGUGUCACUUUGAUUAUAUUUAGUGGUUAAACAACACUCAAUAAAAAAUGUGUGCUAGGCACUAAUUCUAAGUGGUGAAGGUAUACGUAGUUGUGAACAAAACAAAAAGUACCUUUUUUUUGUCUUUUUGUCUUUUCUAGGGCCACACCCACGGCAUAUGGAGGUUCCCAGGCUAGGGGUCGAAUCAGAGCUGUAGCUGCUGGCCUACACCACAGCCACACCACCCCACACGGGAUCCAAGCCUCAUCUUCAACCCACAGCACAGCAACACCAGAUCCGUAACCCACUGAGCAAGGCCAGGGAUUGAACCCUCAACCUCAUGGUUCCUAGCCGGAUUCGUUAACCACUGAGCCAUGUUGUCAGGGAUGGCCUCUGAGGGGUAACAGAAUAGGAGGCCAAAUGGGACCAGUGAGAAAGCUGUGUGACAUCAUCGAGAGCAGCAUGUUCAAAGGCCUUGAGGGACAGGCAUGUCUGGCACAUCCAAGAAGCAGCAAGAAGGCCGAUAGGCCUAGCCAGGAGGAGAGCGAUGGGGCCGGAUCAUGGAGGGCUUCAUGGGCAUUAGAAGGGUUUGACUUUGAAGGCUUUGGAGCAAACGUAAGGUAAGCUGAUACAUGUUUGAAAAUGGUUGUGAUGGCUGCCGUAUGAAGAACAGGCUGAAGGAGAGAAGGGUGGGAGCAGAAGAGACCAGUGAGGAGACCUGAGGGGUGCCAGUCAGGAGGUUGCAGAGGUUAGAGCCAGCCAUUGUAUGUCAUAUGGUUGGAUUGUGUGUAUGGUGCAUGAGAGAAAGGAGGAGGUGAGCACAGUUGACCUGAUUUUGUCCUGAAUAACUGGAUGGAGUUGCCAUUCUACUGAGAUGUACAGGACUUUAGAGGGAAGAAGGCUGGGGCGAAGAAUUGGGUUAGAGUAUUAUGGGAAGGUACACAAAUCAGAAUUGUACAACGUGAUGAAUUUUUACCAAGUGAACUCGUCCAGGUAAGCAGGAACUGAUCUACCACUACAUAGUGAACAAUAGCCUAACUUUUAUCACUAAAAUUUCUUUUGCUACCUUUCGAACUUUAUAUAAAUGGAGUGUAUGGUAUAUAUUAUCUAGCUUUUUUGCUCAAUAUUCUAUUUGAAAUAUUCGUGUUGUUAACACAUGGUUGCCAUGGAAUACUCCAUUGUAUGUUACACCAGUGAAUUUAUUCAUUCUGUAGUUGAUAGUCCAGUUUAUCAAGUAUUUUCUUUAUAGUUACUGUUUUUUAUGUCCUGUUUAAGAAACAUUUACUUGAGGUUAUGGAGAUAAUCUCUUGCAUUUUCUUCUAAAUAUUUUCCCUAGAUUUUCUGCCUUUGACUUCCAACAUUUAGGUGUAUAAUCCACCAGAAAUUGACUUUCAUGUAUGGUUGGUAGAGGACAGGAUCAUUUUUUUUUAAUAUGUAUAUCCAUUCCACCCAGCUCUAUUCAUCAAAAUGUCUGUUCUUUCUCCUCUUUACUGUAGCGUCAUCUUUGUCAUGAAUCAGGGGUGGGUGUGUGUGUGUAUGUUUCUACACUUUUUGUUGUGUUUCAUUCAUUAAUUUGUCUAUCCCUGCACCAAUCCUAGUGCUUUAAUUAUUAAAGCUUUAUAAUAGAGCUUAAUUUCUGGCAGUGGAACUUCUCUAACUUUGUCCUUUUUCCAGAUUGCCUUGGGUAUAUUUGGCUCCUUUGUAUUUGCAUGAAGAAUUUAGAAUCAGUUUGUUAAUUUUUCCCACCCCCAAAAAGCCUUUUGAAGAUUUUAUGUAAUUUACACACAAUAAAAUAUAGACUUUAAGAGUACGAUUCGAUAAGUACUCUCUAAGUACUUGACAAAUGUAUACAGUCAUAUAACCAACAUUCCAGUCAAAGUAUGCAACCAGUUCCAUCACCCAGGGACAUUCCAUCAUACCCCUUUCCAGUUAAUCCCCUUUUCCUCCCAGAAGCAACCACUCUUGAUUUCUUUCACCACAAAUUUUUUUGACUGUUGUAGGACUUUAUAUAAAUGGGAACAUGGGAUCAUAAAGUAUGACCUCUUUUGUGUUUGCUCAACACAGUGUUUCCAAUACACUGCUGCCUGCAUCAUUCCUUCUUACUGUUACAUCACAUUCCAUUGUAUGACUAUACCACAGUUCCUUUAUCAGUCCACCUGCCAUUUGGAUAUUUCUUGUUUGGGGGCAUCUAUGAAUAAGGCAACUAUGAAUAUUUCCUGUUUGAGUCUUUUUUUUUUAGGGCCGCACUUGCAGCAUAUGGAGGUUCCCAGGCUAGGGGUCUAAUUGGAGCUACAGCUGCCUGCCACAGCAACAUCAGAUCCAAGCCGCAUCUGUGACCUACACCACAGCUCACAGCAACGCCAGAUCCUUAAUCCACUGAGUGAGGCCAGGGAUCGAACCUGCAGCUUUAUAGUUCCUAGAUGGAUUCAUUUCUACUGCGCCACGACAGGAGCGCUCUUAUUUGAAUCUUUUGUAUCUGCUUCAUUUCUCAUGGGCAAAUACUUAGACAUAGGAGGUAGUGGGUGUACUUAAGUGUUAUGAGAAAAUACUGAACAGUGUUCCAAAGUGGUCGUAUCCUUUUACACUCCAGUUAGCAUGGUAUAACGGUACUAGUGGCUUUGUAUACUCAUUUUAGCCAUUUUAAAGGUGAAACGUUUUUUAAUUGUGAUUUUAAUUUGCAUUGUCAGAUGACUAAGCACAUUUUCUUUCUACACAAAAAUUUUUAUUAUACUUGAUUUAUAGUGUUGUCAAUUUCUGCUGUACAGCAAAGUGACCCAGUUUAUGUAUAUACACACACAUUUUUUUUUCUCAUGUUAUCCUCCAUUAUGUUCCAUCACAAGUGUUUGGAUAUAGUUCCCUGUGCCGUGCAGCAGGAUUUCAUUGCUUAUCAGCUUCAAGUGCAGUAGUUUGCAUCUAUUAACCCCAGACUCCCAGUCCAUCCCACUUCUUCCUCCUCCCCCUUGACAACCACAGCUCUAUUCUCCAUGUCCAUGAGUUUGUUUCUUUUCUGUAGAUAGGUUCAUUGUGUCAUAUAUUAGAUUCCAGAUAUAAGUGGUAUCAGUUCCUGUCAUGGCUUAGUGGUUGACAAACUUGACCAGGAUCCAUGAGGAUGUGGGUUCAAUCCCUGGCCUUGCCCAGUGGGUUAAGGAUCCAGCGUUGCUCUGAGCUGUGGCAUAGGUUGCAGACCUGGGUCAGAUCCCAUGUUGCUCUGGCUGUAGUGUGGGCCGGUGGCUACAGCUCCAAUUAGACCCCUAGCCUGGAAACCUCUAUAUGCUGUGGGUUGCAGCCUUAAAAAGAC